RNAcentral lists this long non-coding RNA (332 nucleotides) under Hordeum vulgare. RNAcentral describes it as "long non-coding RNA (HVUL_LNC006929)". The record is from RNAcentral. Lineage: Eukaryota; Viridiplantae; Streptophyta; Magnoliopsida; Poales; Poaceae.
UCUUAUUCUCCUAUUCUCUUCUUCUUCUCUUCUUCUUUACUUCUUCUCCUUCUUUUUUUUUCUUCUCUUCUUCUUCUUCUUCUUCUUCUUCUCCUUCUUCUCCUUCUUCUCUUCUUCUUCUUCUUCUUCUUCUUCUUCUUCUUCUUCUUCUUCUUCUUUUUCUUCUCCUCUUCUCGUCCUCCUCUUCUCCUCUUCUCCUCCUUCACCUAACUAACCAAGCUAACUAACUAACCUAACUAAAACUACUAACCUAACUAAAUCUACCACUAAAACCACUAACAAUAACAACUACUAAAACUACUAAAACUACUAAAAAAUAAUGCGGGUGGGGG